GCGGCGGGCGAGGGACGCGGCGAGGGGAGGGCAGCGCGCGCCGGAGCGCCAAUGAGUUCACUUUCUUUUUCUCCCCCGCGCUCUCCCCCUCUCCCUUCCCGCCGGCCCCUCUAAGCCUCCAGCUCAGCCGGAGAGGCCGCGCCGGAGUUUUCGGUUCUCGGCGGGGGAGCCGGAGGACGGUGGCGGCGAGGGAGGAGGAAGAGGAAAAGUGCAGAUCGCGGGAGAGCCCAAUCACAGGGCGAGCUGGACCGGGCUGCGAUCAUUUAUAAUCCUGGACUCCUCCGCUCCGCCACUUGUCAAGAUGACAGGGGUCAUCCAUGAAUAACACUUCACGCUGAUGAAUGGCUCUUGCCGGCUUUCGGCUCUGAUGAGGGGUCUGCCCGCCGCUGAUUGCAAACACUAAUGAACUUACAGCGCCAUCUGAAAUUCACACGCACCUACAAAGUGCAGGGGGUGGGCAUUUCAGGUCAGCGGAGUCACCCGAAGAGGUAGGAGUGCAAGACACUGCCGGGAAGAUGGAUUUCGAGGCAGAAGGGUGUAAUUAAGGAUUUCCACUCUCGGUAGGCGGCCCGUCCUUUACAAGAGGCUCUGAAAAUGACCUGCGCCUUCCCUUCCAGAGUGUCCUCUCGUCCGAAACUGAAAAGCGCAAAUGACCUUCGCACGCGGGAAGGGGCUCUGAACACCAAGAUUCCUUGCAAGCCCCAACUCGGGGCUGGCGGAGAACAAGUGUCUGCCCUCGGGUUCAAGCACCAGGUCCUCCCCAACAAGCGCGCAGCGGCCAGGGGGCUGGAUUCUGGAGUCCUCUAAAGGCUCCACACCCCGCAUUCUCCGACCCCCCCAUCCCCCGUUCUCCCCUCAGAUUAGCAGCCAAACGCUACCUCUGCCUCGACUUUGUUUGCUGUGGGAGGAAAAUAAAAGUUUACUACUCUCCACAA
Leptonychotes weddellii (Weddell seal) is the source of this 935-nucleotide long non-coding RNA. RefSeq lists it as uncharacterized. The record is from RefSeq and is a predicted model, not a curated record. Lineage: Eukaryota; Metazoa; Chordata; Mammalia; Carnivora; Phocidae.